Molecule: ribosomal RNA, 482 nt
Filed under: uncultured bacterium
Lineage: Bacteria
Description: partial 16S ribosomal RNA
Rfam family: Bacterial small subunit ribosomal RNA
Source: RNAcentral
AUUGAACGCUGGCGGCAUGCUUUACACAUGCAAGUCGAACGGUAACAGGCCGCAAGGUGCUGACGAGUGGCGAACGGGUGAGUAAUGCAUCGGAACGUGCCCAGUCGUGGGGGAUAACUACUCGAAAGAGUAGCUAAUACCGCAUACGAUCUAUGGAUGAAAGCGGGGGACCGUAAGGCCUCGCGCGAUUGGAGCGGCCGAUGUCAGAUUAGGUAAUUGGUGGGGUAAAGGCUCACCAAGCCAACGAUCUGUAGCUGGUCUGAGAGGACGACCAGCCACACUGGGACUGAGACACGGCCCAGACUCCUACGGGAGGCAGCAGUGGGGAAUUUUGGACAAUGGGCGCAAGCCUGAUCCAGCAAUGCCGCGUGCAGGAAGAAGGCCUUCGGAUUGUAAACUGCUUUUGUACGGAACGAAACGGCUCUGGUUAAUACCCGGGGCUAAUGACGGUACCGUAAGAAUAAGCACCGGCUAACUACGUG